This 497-nucleotide ribosomal RNA is filed under the name uncultured bacterium. Its description in RNAcentral is "partial 16S ribosomal RNA". It matches the Rfam family "Bacterial small subunit ribosomal RNA", at positions 28 to 507 of the family's 1533-position model. The record is from RNAcentral.
GAUGAACGCUGGCGGCGUGCCUAAUACAUGCAAGUCGAGCGAACAGACGAGGAGCUUGCUCCUCUGACGUUAGCGGCGGACGGGUGAGUAACACGUGGAUAACCUACCUAUAAGACUGGGAUAACUUCGGGAAACCGGAGCUAAUACCGGAUAAUAUAUUGAACCGCAUGGUUCAAUAGUGAAAGACGGUUUUGCUGUCACUUAUAGAUGGAUCCGCGCCGCAUUAGCUAGUUGGUAAGGUAACGGCUUACCAAGGCAACGAUGCGUAGCCGACCUGAGAGGGUGAUCGGCCACACUGGAACUGAGACACGGUCCAGACUCCUACGGGAGGCAGCAGUAGGGAAUCUUCCGCGAUGGGCGAAAGCCUGACGUAGCAACGCCGCGUGAGUGAUGAAGGUCUUCGGAUCGUAAAACUCUGUUAUUAGGGAAGAACAAAUGUGUAAGUAACUAUGCACGUCUUGACGGUACCUAAUCAGAAAGCCACGGCUAACUACGUG